RNAcentral lists this long non-coding RNA (3214 nucleotides) under Salmo salar (Atlantic salmon). RNAcentral's name for it is "lncRNA (ENSSSAG00000108072.1)". Lineage: Eukaryota; Metazoa; Chordata; Actinopteri; Salmoniformes; Salmonidae. The record is from RNAcentral.
AAUCAAUGUGAAUACAGCUGAAGAAUUGACACAUUCCCUUUUUAUCAAAGUGGUUCCAAGUAUUCAUUUCUGUGAUGAGGCACAUAACUGCCGUUUAUUAUUAUAUAAUUGAAUUACUGUGCAUCUAGAAGCAUUUGUUCCUUUUCAAAACACAAUUCCUGACAGUGAACAGAUCCCUUUGAGUACAUAGACUGCUAUUUAAGGCAAUUACUUUGGGGCAAAUCCUAACUUCCACGUAGUUAUGCAUUGAUGUCAAUGGGAGACAAACACAUUUUUUUACUUAAGAGCAAGUUAGGAUUCACCCCAUAGUGGAUGAACCACACAAUUGCCUUGUGUACCAUCGAACACUGAAUACAUACAAUCAACAAGUGCAAGAAGCUGAAAUCAAUGUGAUGGUGAAUGAAAAAUCUUGAUCGUAUUUCUCCCAUCUACAAAUAUCUAAUCACACAAUGGCCUUUAUACUUAAAAUUCAUCUGUCAGUGUACAGCAGCAUGUCUUAUCACAGCAUGAUCAAACACCCAAAGCAGACGCCAUACAAAACUCCUAGGCUAGGACAACAAAACACUAGCCCUGGUCGCAGAUCAGUUGGUGCUGUACAGACAGCCAACUCCUAUGGUUGACAAAAUGGCAUAAACAUAUCUGGGAUCAAGCUAACGAAACGCUUCAAAUCAAAUGUUAUUGGUCACAUACACAUGGUUAGCAGAUGUUAAUGCGAGUGUAGCGAAAUGCUUGUGCUUCUAGUUCCGACCGUGCAGUAAUAUCUAACAAGUAAUCUAACAAUUUCACAACUCCCUUAUACAGACAAGUGUAAAGGAAUUAAUAAGAAUAUGUACAUAUGGAUGAUGAUGGCCUUGCGGCAUAGGCGAGAUGCAGUAGGUGGUAUCGAGUACAGUAUAUACAUGAGAUGAGUAAUGUAGGGUAUGUAAACAUUAUAUAAAGUGGCAUUGUAAUAAAGUGACUAGUGAUACAUUUAUUACAUCCAAUUUGUUAUUAUUAAAGUGGCUAGAGAUUUGAGUCAGUAUGUUGGCAGCAGCCAGUCAAUGUUAGUGACGGCUGUUUAACAGUCUGAUGGCCUUGAGCUAGAAGCUGUUUUUCAGUCUCUCGGUCCCAGCUUUGAUGCACCUGUACUGACCUCGCCUUCUGGAUGAUAGCGGGGUGAACAGGCAGUGGCUUGGGUGGUUGUUGUCCUUGAUGAUCUUUUUGGCAUUCCUGUGACAUGGUGUAGGUGUCCUGGAGGGCAGGUAGUUUGCCCACGGUGAUGCGUUGUGCAGACUUCACUACCCUCUGGAGUAGAGCCUUACGGUUGUGGGCGGAGCAGUUGCCGUACCAGGCGGUGAUACAGCCUGACAGGAUGUUCUCAUUUGUGCAUCUGUAAAAGUUUGCGAGUGUUUUCGGUGACAAGCCAAAUUUCUUCAGCCUCCUGAGGUUGAAGAGCCGCUGUUGCGCCUUCUUCACCACGCUGUCUGUGUGGGUGGACCAUUUCAGUUUAUCCGUGAUGUGUACGCCGACGAACUUAAAACUUUCCACCUUCUUCACUACUGUCCCAUCGAUGUGGAAUGGGGGGUGGGGGGGGGCUCCCUCUGCUGUUUCCUGAAGUCCACGAUCAUCUUUUGUUGACGUUGAGUGUGAGGUUAUUUUCCUGACACCACACUCCGAGGGCCCUCACCUCCUCCCUGUAGGCCGUCUCGUCGUUGUUGGUGGUAAUCAAGCCCACCACUGUAGUGUCAUCUGAAAACUUGAUGAUUGAGUUGGGAGGCGUGCAUGGCCACGCAGUCAUGGGUGAACAGGGAGUACAGGAGAGGGCUGAGAACGCUCCCUUGUGGGGCCCCAGUGUUGAGGAUCAGCGGGGUGGAGAUGUUGUUUCCUACCCUCACCACCUGGGGCGGCCUGUCAGAAAGGCCAGGACUCAGUUGCACAGGGCGGGGUCGAGACCCAGGGUCUCAAGCUUAAUGACAAGUUUGGAGGGUACUAUGGUGUUAAAUGCUGAGCUGUAAUCGAUGAACAGCAUUCUUACAUAGGUAUUCCUCUUGUCCAGAUGGGUUAGGGCAGUGUGCAGUGUGAUUGCGUCGUCUGUGGCUCUAUUGGGGCGGUAAGCAAAUUGGAGUGGGUCUAGGGUGUCCAGUAGGGUGGAGGUGAUAUGAUCCUUGACUAGUCUCUCAAAGCACUUCAUGAUGACGGAAGUGAGUGCUACGGGGCGAUAGUCAUUUAGCUCAGUUACCUUAGCUUUCUUGGGAACAGGAACAAUGGUUUCCCUCUUGAAGCAUGUGGGAACAGCAGACUGGGAUAGGGAUUGAUUGAAUAUGUCCGUAAACACGCCAGCCAGUUGGUCUGCACAUACUCUGAGGACACGGCUAGGGAUGCCUUGUGAGGGUUAACACGUUUAAAUAUUUUACUCAGGUUGGCUGCGGUGAAGGACAGCCGCAAGUUUUGUUAGUGGGCCAUGUCAGUGGCACUGUAUUGUCCUUAAAGCGAGCAAAGAAGUUGUUUAGUUUGUCUGGGAGCAAGACGUCGGUGUCUGCAACGGGGCUGGUUUUCUUUUUGUAAUCCGUGAUUGACUGUAGACCCUGCCACAUAUGUCUCGUGUCUGAGCCGUUGAAUUGCGACUCUGCUUUGUCUCUAUACUGAUGCUUAGCCUGUUUGAUUGCCUUGAGGAAGGAAUAGCUACACUGUUUGAAUUCGAUCAUGUUUCCGGUCGCCUUGCCAUGAUUAAAAGCAGUGGUUCGCACUUUCACUUUUGCGCAAAUGCUGCCAUCAAUCCACAGUUUCUGGUUGGGGAAGGUUUUAAUAGUCACCAUGGGUACAACAUCACCGAUGCACUUGCUAAUAAACUCGCUCACCGAAUCAGUGUAUACAUCAAUGUUGUUGUCUGAGGUUAUCCGGAACAUAUCCCAGUCCACGUGAUCCAAGCAAUCUUGAAGCGUGGAAUCAGAUUGGUCGGACUAGCGUUGAACAGACCUGAGCACGGGCGUUUCCUGUUUUAGUUUCUGUCUAUAGGCUGGGAGUAACAAAAUGGAGUCGUGGUCAGAUUUGCCGAAAGGAGGGCGAGAGAGGGCUUUGUAUGCAUUGUGGAAGUUAGAGUAGCAGUGAUCCAGAAUGCUGCCAGCCCGGGUCGUGCAUUCAAUAUGCUGAUAAAAUUUAGGGAGCCUUGUUUUCAGAUUAGCUUUGUUAAAAUCCCCAGCUACAAUAAAUGCAGCCUCAGGAUAUGUUGUUUCCA